GACGAACGCUGGCGGCGUGCCUAAUACAUGCAAGUCGAGCGGACCAAAGGGAGCUUGCUCCUGGAGGUUAGCGGCGAACGGGUGAGUAACACGUGGGCAACCUGCCUGUAAGACUGGGAUAACAUCGAGAAAUCGGUGCUAAUACCGGAUAAUAAAAAGAACUGCAUGGUUCUUUUUUGAAAGAUGGUUUCGGCUAUCACUUACAGAUGGGCCCGCGGCGCAUUAGCUAGUUGGUGAGGUAACGGCUCACCAAGGCGACGAUGCGUAGCCGACCUGAGAGGGUGAUCGGCCACACUGGGACUGAGACACGGCCCAGACUCCUACGGGAGGCAGCAGUAGGGAAUCUUCCGCAAUGGACGAAAGUCUGACGGAGCAACGCCGCGUGAGUGAUGAAGGUUUUCGGAUCGUAAAACUCUGUUGUUAGGGAAGAACAAGUGCCGUUCGAAAGGGCGGCACCUUGAUGGUACCUAACGAGAAAGCCACGGCUAACUACGUGCCAGCAGCCGACGG
RNAcentral lists this ribosomal RNA (510 nucleotides) under uncultured bacterium. RNAcentral describes it as "bacterial SSU rRNA". It matches the Rfam family "Bacterial small subunit ribosomal RNA", at positions 28 to 520 of the family's 1533-position model. The record is from RNAcentral.